UUACGGCCAUAUCACAUUGAAAUACCGGUUCCCAUAUGAACACCGAAGUUAAGCAAUGUUGAGCCUGGUCAGUACCUAGAUUGGUAACUGCUUGCUUGGGAAUACCAGGUGCUGUAA
Molecule: non-coding RNA, 117 nt
Organism: Acanthosepion pharaonis
Lineage: Eukaryota; Metazoa; Mollusca; Cephalopoda; Sepiida; Sepiidae
Source: the annotation of a GenBank genome assembly